AGGAAAUCUUGCUCUAGUGCCUGAAAACCAUUAGGCAGUUUAGCAAAGCCUUGGCUCCCGUCGUUGAGGACAUUGAUAAACUAGUGAAAUUCCGACAAAUGUCUUUGCGUCUUCACUCUGGGCCUUCCUAGUACCAGCCACCUGGGACCUAGACUUGUUCCUCGGUUUCAGCUCAAGCUGGUACAGAGGGGAGUCCAGCCAGGAGCAGUGGGAGGCUCCCCAGGAGCUGACUGACCGUAGAGAAUUCCCAGUACAGGGAGUGCUACGGAUCUCUCCUUGUGACUUGUGUGCGACAGGUCAUGGGUAUGGGUGCGAUGUGUACUGUGUGUGUGUGUGUGUGUGUGUGUGUGUGUUUACGUGUAUUUUCGGAGCGCUGGCUGUUAACGCCCUCACCGCCCCCACCGCACCCCUCUGGCUCCAAUCCAAUUCCAAAUCCCUGGUUACAGAUCUUAAGGACCAGACGGAUAGAGGGGAGAGAGGCUUCUCAGGCCCACCGAUGGACGGAAAGGGAUGGAGUGAUUUGGAAAUCCCUCUGCUCCCAAUCAGUCAGCCAGGCCUGAGGCCAGACGCUCCAGUGCAUUGCUGCGGAUGGUUACUCAUCGAGGGCUCAGGUCAUAGAAUCGUUUGGUCCACUAGACACUUAUCCAGCCUCACCAGGACACGCCAAGCCCUGCACAUUCCUGGGGACACAACGGUUGAAGGCACGGAGUGGCUCCUGGCCUUGAAGAACUCAUGUCAGGUGGGAACACAGCUACCUCAACUGAAACCCAGCAGCGACCUCAGGGAAGCCGAGGGCCUAAAGCACAACUGCCCCCCCCCCCAACCCCCAAGGUCAGAUUCCACAGCGACUAAGGCAGCACUGUCCUAAGGGCAGGCUCCCAGGCGCCUCCCAGCAGAGCCUCCCUUCAGAGGGACCAGCCCUUAGGCACAGCUAAGUGUUCCCAAGGGAGCAUGUGAGGAAAUGGUCACAAGCCUCUUUUUGGCAGCCUAUGUGGGUAAAAUCUGAGCAAUGCCGUGGUCAGCCUCCUAGCAGCGACACCUUUCUGAUCUAAUAUUUCCCUCCUCCAGAAGGAUACUACAAGGCCCUAUAGUAAAGAAAGACCUUCUGCUUCCCUGUAUUCUAGAUGUGUUAGACCUGGUCUGAGUUUCAAAAAUGCCAUUUUUUUUUUCUAAUUGCAAUUACAUGUUGCCCCCUCGUGUUCAUCUAUAUGGUUGCACCCUGUAGUAAUAGGGUGAGGAUGAAGCAGCGGGAGGCCUGGGCCCUUGACUUCCCAGAAGGGGAAAAACUAAACGUAGGCAACAGGCCUGGCAAAAGCACACAAAUAAGAGCCACUUAAGUUGCAAACUAUGAGUCAUGGCUCUAUUUUUUUCUGUAACAAUAUACAAUCUUCGAGUUUGGGUCCGGAUAGUAAUAGGCAAUGUUUAGCGCACACUUGCCAUGUGCCAGGCACAAUGCAUGGCAUUUGUUAACUCAAUGCUCGCAGCAAUCCUGAGAACGAUUAGCUGCUCUGCGCUUGUGGUGUACCUCACAGCUCAAGGAAGCAGACAGACGUGAAAUGUCACAUCAAAACGAAGCAAACGAAGCUAAGGGGCCCAUGGUCUGCAGAGGGUAAUGGAAUGAGGAGCCACAUGCAGAUCUUUUUCUUCUUAACAGCUUUACUGUGAUAUAAUUCACUUGUCCUACAGUUCGCCCACUUAGAGGGCACAACUCAAUGGCUUCUAGUAUGUCCACAGAGCUAUGUGACACCACAGUCAACUCUAGAUCAUCUUCAUCAUCCCUGAAAAAAACCCACAUGUCCUUUAGCAGUCAUUCCUCAUUUCCCCACACCCCACUGAUUCUAGACAACCACUCACCUACUUUUUGUCCC
Molecule: long non-coding RNA, 1868 nt
Filed under: Vulpes vulpes (red fox)
Lineage: Eukaryota; Metazoa; Chordata; Mammalia; Carnivora; Canidae
Description: lncRNA (ENSVVUG00000010998.1)
Source: RNAcentral